UUAGAUGACUUAAGUACACUUUAGCCAGGUUAAUUUGGGUGGUUCUACCACACUAUGAACCCAAGAUCAGUAAAACCGCAAUCGGCGACCACAUCCUGGAAGGCAUUCAUCUGCCACGCCUCCCUAUCAUUUGCACCAAAAUGCUCCCCUCCAUUCAGCACCUCAUUAAAAUCUCCCGCACAUAGCCAUGGAGCUGCCGAUUGUGCAUGGAGAAAUCUUAACAGAUACUAGCUCUCCUUCCGUAGCUCCCGUCGUGGCUCUCCAUAAAAGCCAGUAAACCUCCAUUGAUGCACACUCACCCUCGCACAUGAGAGAAGGACAUCAAUGUGCAAUUUUAACAUACUCUAGAUUAACACUGUUACAUCACCACACCAGUACAGCACCA
This 385-nucleotide long non-coding RNA is filed under the name Setaria viridis. Its description in RNAcentral is "long non-coding RNA (SVIR_LNC006820)". The record is from RNAcentral. Lineage: Eukaryota; Viridiplantae; Streptophyta; Magnoliopsida; Poales; Poaceae.